UAGACAAUUAUUUCAUUGGUUACAUUUUAUGACCAAUAAAAAGAAUUUUUUUUAAUAUAAAAAUGAUCAUCUAUCAAGUUUUAAUCAAGAAAUUCCUUGAAGAAAAAAAAAUUUAUACGGAUUCAAUCAGCAAGAUUUUCAAGAGGAAUUCGUGAAAGAUGAGGAUAUCUAUUUACUUAUGUAUAGAUCUCAUUGGUAUCUAACAUAUCUAUCUUUAUGCUGGAAUAUGUUAGAAAGGUUUAUAUACAACCUUCAGUAGGUCAUCUUGAGAAUAAAUUUCCUAUAUAAAAUCCUACAGAAAUCCUAUUAAAGACCGACAACUUAUAAAAAAAAAAAGGAAAAAGAAAAAAGAAGAGAAAGUUGUUUUGAAGGUCUUACUAGGGAUAAACACCGUUCCUAUAAAGUUCCAGUGUUUCAUAGAAAGAAGAAAAAAGAAACUCUCAGGAAAAGAACACAUCUUGUUGUAAAAGAAAUUCUAAAAUCUUUUGUGUAGGGCUUUCUAAAUGGGUUGAUUUUGCAUAUAGUUCUUUAUAGGGUGCAUCACACAAAAACUAAGUUUACAUAGGAUUAAGUAAAUUUUAUAAAGAAAAUAAGGAAGAAUACUAAAAACGCAUUUUCAACGUAUCUAGUUUCUAUUUUUUAAAAUAUUUCUUUAAAAAAUAAACCCUGUAUAAACUUACCAUUAUCGAUUAUACACUUUAUAGUUCUACAUUAUAAAAUAAGUUAAAUACAUUGAAUGUUUGCCAUCUGCCUGGCUUCUAAGAAAACAAUUUUAAAAAGUAUUCUAAAAGAUGUAUA
Long non-coding RNA from Centruroides sculpturatus (bark scorpion), 798 nucleotides. RefSeq lists it as uncharacterized. Lineage: Eukaryota; Metazoa; Arthropoda; Arachnida; Scorpiones; Buthidae. The transcript has 4 exons. The record is from RefSeq and is a predicted model, not a curated record.